UAAAUGCUUACUGAAUGUACACUAACGUUACUGUAUGAUUGUACCGGGUUUACUAACGCGUUAGUUAUAUUAGCUAUGCUGACUAUGACGUUACUUUAGCUAAUAUAGUGACAACGAUGUAGGCUGUUUUUCCCCCGCCUGGUCACAUGCAUAGAACUCCACAAGCGAAGGAAAGAGGUGAGAGGAGGAGAGCGCAUGGAAGCGAGAAGGAAUACAACGUGGCUGCUAUUGAUGCAUCAUUGGGCAGCAUUCAAGACAGUGGGCGAACUGGCUAGCUAGCUAGGUCGCAUUAGCUUAGAAGGUAGCCCUUACCGUGACGACAUAAACCUCGUCUGCUGAAUGUUGGGCAGUCCACAUGCUAAACACGGCAACCGGGGUCUCUUCGCCUCAAGUCCACUACUCCCUUCAAUAAUACUCAAUAUUCUAUGUGUGUGUUUCCUGUUGUAUUUACUGACGGUAGUCAGAAAGCCUCGUCGUAUUGCACAAGCAGCCAUCUUUUCUACUUCUGCACAAGCACGCCGAGGCUGACGUGUAUAAAAGCGGGCGAAUUAAAAAGUGUAUUUAAAGGUCCAAUGUAGCCGUUUUUAUCUAAAUAUCAAAUACUUUCUGGGUAACAAAGUACCUUACUGUAAUUAUUUUCAAUUAAAAUGGUCAAAAAAUAUUCCUAGCAAAGAUACAUUUCUCAAGCUAAAAUUUUGCUAGGAUUGUCUGGGAGUGUUCUGAGUGGCGAUGGAAAAUUUGAAAACCUAGCUGUUUUUGGCGGAGGUUUGGAAAUCUUUCUUAUUGGUCUAUUGAUGUCAACAGGCAGGCCAAAACUCCAUUCCACCACUAUCAUACUUUUCGCAAUUUCACAGUAUUAUGCCAACCUCAGUGUGGAAAUAUUAAUACAUAUAAUGUUUUUGGCUGCACUGGGUCUAAAGUUUCACCUUAGCAUCAGGUACUCUGUUGUGUUUAAAGUAUCUCAAUGUAAAGGCCCAGUGCAGUCACACAAUUCCAGAGUGUUAUUUCGACCUCAAUGUACUCAUUUUGAGAAUUACAUUUACUUUUGAACCAAGUGCUUUUUGACUUUUACUCAAGUAGUAUUUUGCUAGGAGACUUUUACAAUUUUUUAUUUUUUACUUUUACAAUUGAGUACUUUUUCUACCACUGCAAACAGGCUAUUAUUACUGUAACGUUAACUACCCAACGUUACAUUGGCUACACAGUAAGUAGAGCUAGGUCGCUGUUUUUCUAUAUUAAACUACGUACGAUAUGUUGUUACACGGAACAAAAUAAAGUUUGCGCCAGAAGGGCCCUGUUUGAACGCAUAGUUACGCUAACUCCGUAUUCACAAUGUACAAUACUCAGUGAGUCAACUCAAAUCCAGCUAACUGGAAUUUGUCUUUCAGCAUAAAAAUAUCCUGCCUCUUCUUCACCAGUGAAUCAGGCAGCACUUCAGGGUCAUCGCUGAUGAAAGGCCUGCAAAAUGACAACGAGGAGAUACUUGAGGACAAAGAGUAUGCGAUUGAGACACAGACACACAUACACAGGACAUGCAGGUGAACAUCGACUGGCAGAGAAGCAGCUGAACUGGUUCACCCCUAGCCCUUCUAGUUUGAUGCUGACAGAGGUGGCUGCUGCACAUGCUAAAGUGGUGGUGCAGGUCGUAAAAAUGCUCUAGCCUGGUCCCAGAUCCCUCUAGCCUGGGCUUGCUAACUCCUAAUGUAUGAUAUGGUUAUGAUAGUAAUGUAGGCCCUAACAUGCACUUUGUUUUCAGGUUUGAAUGAGACAAUAUAUUCCCCUAACCUUAUUAUUUUAAUAAAGUUAUUGUUUAUGA
Oncorhynchus gorbuscha (pink salmon) is the source of this 1816-nucleotide long non-coding RNA. RefSeq lists it as uncharacterized. The transcript has 4 exons. Lineage: Eukaryota; Metazoa; Chordata; Actinopteri; Salmoniformes; Salmonidae. The record is from RefSeq and is a predicted model, not a curated record.